Molecule: ribosomal RNA, 301 nt
Filed under: uncultured bacterium
Lineage: Bacteria
Description: partial 16S ribosomal RNA
Rfam family: Bacterial small subunit ribosomal RNA
Source: RNAcentral
CAGCAGCCACGGUAAUGCGAAGGGGGCUAGCGUUGUUCGGAUUUACUGGGCGUAAAGGGCGCGUAGGCGGACUGAUAAGUCAGGGGUGAAAUCCCAAGGCUCAACCUUGGAACUGCCUUUGAUACUGUUUGUCUUGAGUUCGAGAGAGGUAAGUGGAACUGCGAGUGUAGAGGUGAAAUUCGUAGAUAUUCGCAAGAACACCAGUGGCGAAGGCGGCUUACUGGCUCGAAACUGACGCUGAGGCGCGAAAGCGUGGGGAGCAAACAGGAUUAGAUACCCCUGUAGUCCCUGUCUCUUAUAC